Molecule: long non-coding RNA, 839 nt
Organism: Paramisgurnus dabryanus
Lineage: Eukaryota; Metazoa; Chordata; Actinopteri; Cypriniformes; Cobitidae
Source: RefSeq, a predicted model, not a curated record
UGUGAGAUCGUGCGAAAUCAAACUUAAACUUGUUAAAUAACUAUGGCUUAUAGUCAGAUACAGCCUUACAUUUAUGAUCCAGAAUCGGAUGCAGAGUCAGUAAAUGACCAACAGGAACAACAGCAGCAACGAUUACAACAGGACGUUUCUAUCUGGUAAUUAGUCAUUGUUUGUUUACCCGCUGUUUGUUUGUUUGUUUUUAAUACGACGUAAAACUUGAUGUUUUUUCUGCAUUUGUCUGUUUAAAAGGUGUAAAUGUCAUAGGUGCAGUACAAUGCCAACUGAGGCAGAAAAUGUUUGCUGCCAAGAAAUACAACAGGUAAGGAGACGACUAAUUCAAGCACCAACCUCUUUACAGUGUAUGACAGAACAUCCAGGACUGGAGGCCAACUGCCUGAAUGUUUAUACACUUCAAAACAUAAACAACAUUUACAGAGCAGACUAUGGACCACUUAGGAGGAGAACAGAGGAGGAGAGAGUAUUCAAGAUAAUAGCGUUUUAGGUAUCUUGCCUAUCGCAGUUUUGUUAGCUGGUGCUGGGGAUAUCUUGGCAGACAUGUGCGCGUGGUCAUUCCUGCAUGUGUUUUCCUGCGGAUUCGUCAGGAGUUUCCUGAUGCUGGAGGGAACUACACUGGCUUCCGGCCACCGCUGGAUUGAACCUGGAGACAUGUCGGGCAAUAAGAUCCUCCUUUGCUGGCCUCUCAAACUGUGCUGAUAGGUCCUCUGGAACAGGAACUUUCCGCAGAUCCUCAACAUAGGUGUCAGGGUUGUCAAAUACCUCCGUGAACAGCAAUCUCAUCAGGUCACUGACGUAUCCUGGCACAAAAAAUAAAAAACUUC